RNAcentral lists this ribosomal RNA (350 nucleotides) under uncultured Gemmatimonadaceae bacterium. RNAcentral describes it as "bacterial SSU rRNA". It matches the Rfam family "Bacterial small subunit ribosomal RNA", at positions 790 to 1137 of the family's 1533-position model. The record is from RNAcentral. Lineage: Bacteria; Pseudomonadati; Gemmatimonadota; Gemmatimonadia; Gemmatimonadales; Gemmatimonadaceae.
GUAGUCCACGCCGUAAACGAUGGGCACUAGGUGCUUGGGGGAGCGACCCCUUGAGUGCCGUCGCUAACGCAUUAAGUGCCCCGCCUGGGGAGUACGGCCGCAAGGCUGAAACUCAAAGGAAUUGACGGGGGCCCGCACAAGCGGUGGAGCAUGUGGUUUAAUUCGACGCAACGCGAAGAACCUUACCUAGGCUUGACAUGGCCGAGCAACCUCUUGGAAACAGGAGGCCUCCUUCGGGACUCGGUCACAGGUGCUGCAUGGCUGUCGUCAGCUCGUGUCGUGAGAUGUUGGGUUAAGUCCGCAACGAGCGCAACCCCUGUCUCCACGUUGCCAGCGCGUCAUGGCGGGGA